Molecule: small RNA, 36 nt
Filed under: Bombyx mori (domestic silkworm)
Lineage: Eukaryota; Metazoa; Arthropoda; Insecta; Lepidoptera; Bombycidae
Description: ovarian small RNA-14809
Source: RNAcentral
CUGAAAUCGCUUAGUUUUAGCCCGUCCCGGGCCCGA